AUUGAACGCUGGCGGCAUGCCUUACACAUGCAAGUCGAACGGCAGCAUAGGAGCUUGCUCCUGAUGGCGAGUGGCGAACGGGUGAGUAAUAUAUCGGAACGUGCCCUAGAGUGGGGGAUAACUAGUCGGAAGACUAGCUAAUACCGCAUACAAUCUACGGAUUAAAGUGGGGGAUCGCAAGACCUCAUGCUCCUGGAGCGGCCGAUAUCUGAUUAGCUAGUUGGUGGGGUAAAAGCCUACCAAGGCGACGAUCAGUAGCUGGUCUGAGAGGACGACCAGCCACACUGGGACUGAGACACGGCCCAGACUCCUACGGGAGGCAGCAGUGGGGGAUUUUGGACAAUGGGGGCAACCCUGAUCCAGCAAUGCCGCGUGAGUGAAGAAGGCCUUCGGGUUGUAAAGCUCUUUUGUCAGGGAAGAAACGGUAGUAGCUAAUAUCUAUUACUAAUGACGGUACCUGAAGAAUAAGCACCGGCUAACUACGUGCCAGCAGCCGCCGUAA
RNAcentral lists this ribosomal RNA (502 nucleotides) under uncultured bacterium. RNAcentral's name for it is "partial 16S ribosomal RNA". It matches the Rfam family "Bacterial small subunit ribosomal RNA", at positions 30 to 523 of the family's 1533-position model. The record is from RNAcentral.